Molecule: ribosomal RNA, 253 nt
Filed under: uncultured bacterium
Lineage: Bacteria
Description: partial 16S ribosomal RNA
Rfam family: Bacterial small subunit ribosomal RNA
Source: RNAcentral
UACGGAGGGUGCAAGCGUUAUCCGGAUUCACUGGGCUUAAAGGGUGCGUAGGCGGGCAGGUAAGUCAGUGGUGAAAUCUUCAAGCUCAACUUGGAAACUGCCAUUGAUACUAUUUGUCUUGAAUAUUGUGGAGGUAAGCGGAAUAUGUCAUGUAGCGGUGAAAUGCUUAGAUAUGACAUAGAACACCGAUUGCGUAGGCAGCUUGCUACACAAAUAUUGACGCUGAGGCACGAAAGCGUGGGGAUCAAACAGG